RNAcentral lists this ribosomal RNA (484 nucleotides) under uncultured bacterium. RNAcentral's name for it is "bacterial SSU rRNA". It matches the Rfam family "Bacterial small subunit ribosomal RNA", at positions 28 to 524 of the family's 1533-position model. The record is from RNAcentral.
GACGAACGCUGGCGGCGUGCUUAACACAUGCAAGUCGAACGGUGACCCAGGGCUUGCCCUGGUGAUCAGUGGCGAACGGGUGAGUAACACGUGGGGCAACCUGCCCCUGACUUCGGGAUAACUCCUCGAAAGAGGAGCUAAUACCGGAUACGACCACUUCGGACAUCCGAUGGUGGUGGAAAGUUUUUCGGUCAGGGAUGGGCCCGCGGCCUAUCAGCUAGUUGGUGGGGUAAUGGCCUACCAAGGCGACGACGGGUAGCCGGCCUGAGAGGGCGACCGGCCACACUGGGACUGAGACACGGCCCAGACUCCUACGGGAGGCAGCAGUGGGGAAUAUUGCGCAAUGGGCGAAAGCCUGACGCAGCGACGCCGCGUGAGGGAUGAAGGCCUUCGGGUUGUAAACCGUCUUUCAGCAGGACGAAGCGAAAGUGACGGUACCUGCAGAAGAAGCACCGGCUAACUACGUGCCAGCAGCCGCGGUAAU